Molecule: ribosomal RNA, 253 nt
Filed under: uncultured bacterium
Lineage: Bacteria
Description: partial 16S ribosomal RNA
Rfam family: Bacterial small subunit ribosomal RNA
Source: RNAcentral
UACGAAGGGGGCUAGCGUUGUUCGGAAUUACUGGGCGUAAAGCGUGCGCAGGCGGCCAUCCAAGUCAGUGGUGAAAGCCCGGAGCUCAACUCCGGAAUUGCCAUUGAAACUGUUUGGCUCGAGUACGAGAGAGGUGAGUGGAAUUCCCAGUGUAGAGGUGAAAUUCGUAGAUAUUGGGAAGAACACCGGUGGCGAAGGCGGCUCACUGGCUCGUAACUGACGCUCAUGCACGCCAGCGUGGGGAUCAAACAGG